Non-coding RNA from Thamnophis sirtalis, 1482 nucleotides. The record is from RefSeq and is a predicted model, not a curated record. Lineage: Eukaryota; Metazoa; Chordata; Lepidosauria; Squamata; Natricidae.
CGGCUCUUUUAUGUUUCCCUGACUUGGCCACUUUAACGCACGGGAGCAUAAACUCACAAAGUCGAAUUCUGGGAGUUGAAGUCCACACAUCUUAAAGUAGCCAUGUCUGAGAAGCACUGCUCCAAGUAUCUUAAUAUUCCUUUGGGCUUUUCAUCUUUUAACCAAUCUGUUUCUUCUCUUCCCCACCACCUACCCUGCUGCCCUGGAUGUUCAGAAUUGCUGGUUGAAACUGCUGAACCUACAGAACUUACUGAACUUUCUAUGGAGGCUAUAAGCACUGCUGUGAUAAGUGUGGAUGGCAACUUAUUUCUUGUGCAAACUACUGUAUAGAGAUGGAUCGCCCACACUGAGACACUAAGUUUGGGAAUUACAAGCAAGAUAAAUCCAGCACGAAACAAAGGCUUUUCAGAAUGUUCAUCUUCCUGCCUUCGUAUGUCACUUCCUGCUAUCCGCCAAACUCUCUGAGUGAUUUUGAAUCAUACAGUUAAAAAAGAAAAUAAAUCAACCCUUAAAAGGGACCAUAGGUAACACUCUCAAUAUGCCUUUCUCAAUUUCGUGCCCGCAAAAGCUUCAGAAACAUUCUUUGAAAGCAGCUGACUGAGAAACACGUGGACAAGAUUUGGAGAGGAAAGAUACAUUCUUCUUCAUCCUAAAGAUAUAUUUAUAAUUUAGAGUAUAGCUUAGUUGAUCUUGGCCAUUACAAUUCUUAAGCCUUAAUUGCGCUUUUUGUGACUGUGAGGAUAAAUUAUGGGGUGGGGGUGGGCUGCAAUCUUUUGUGCACCUUAGAAAGGCCAAGGUACUUAAAUGUAAUAUAUGUAUGUAACAGAUACAUACGUGCCAUCUGCACCCUGAAAAAAACAGCAGCGCAGUGGCAGUUCACAACUGUUUUUGUGGAAGGUUCCAGAAGUGGGAGGCCGCCACCAAGAAGACCCUACAGAAUGGAAACAGCUAUGAAGGCAGACCUGCUUUCCUGGAUGAGCAGCAGUUCCCAAACAAUUUAUCCCAGCUAACAUAUCUGUUUCUAUCAGAGGUUUUCCACCUUGGCAACUUUAAGAUAGGUGGACUUCAACUCCCAGCAUGCUGGCCCAGGAAUUCUGGGAGUUGAAGUCCAUGCAUCUUAAAAAGCUGCCAAGGUUAAAACAACAACAUUGGUUUCUACAAAGUGGCCUCCUGCUCCACCUCCUCCACCUAAUUUGUUCCAACUGAAUGUGGCCAGUUAUGCCCCAGAAUGGCCUUUCCCACUCGGGUGUUCUGCAGAUGUGGGAAUUGAAGACCCAAACAUCUGGCGGACAGCAGCUGGGGUAAAGUGGCCAGAGAGGGGCCUCCUGGCUCUCAUUUGACUGACCUGUUUAAAUCCUGCUUUGCCUUCCGGUUCUUUGAACCUGGGUACUGCUCUAAAUGCUUCUAAUUAUUUUUGUAUCUCAGAAAGAGAAUUAUUUUGGAUUGCCGAGUAAAAAAUAAAAUUAGAUUCUAUAUAGCGGC